UACGUAGGUGGCAAGCGUUGUCCGGAAUUAUUGGGCGUAAAGCGCGUGUAGGCGGCUCGAUAAGUCUGCUGUGAAAGUCCAGGGCUCAACCCUGGAAUGCCGGUGGAAACUGUCGAGCUUGAGUCCGGAAGAGGCAAGUGGAAUUCCUGGUGUAGCGGUGAAAUGCGCAGAUAUCAGGAGGAACACCAAUGGCGAAGGCAGCUUGCUGGGACGGUACUGACGCUGAGACGCGAAAGCGUGGGGAGCAAACAGG
RNAcentral lists this ribosomal RNA (253 nucleotides) under uncultured bacterium. Its description in RNAcentral is "partial 16S ribosomal RNA". It matches the Rfam family "Bacterial small subunit ribosomal RNA", at positions 524 to 776 of the family's 1533-position model. The record is from RNAcentral.